This is a small nuclear RNA of Lutra lutra (Eurasian river otter), 107 nucleotides long. NCBI's taxonomy places the organism in Eukaryota, Metazoa, Chordata, Mammalia, Carnivora, Mustelidae. The record is from RefSeq and is a predicted model, not a curated record.
GCGCUUGCUUUGGCAGCACAUACACUAAAAGUGGAACAAUGCAGAGAAGAUUAGCACAGCCCCUGUGCAAGGAUGACACGCAAAUCCGUGAAGCGUUCCAUAUUUUU